GACGAACGCUGGCGGCGCGCCUAACACAUGCAAGUCGAACGGAGAUUACAGGCGGAAGUUUUCGGAUGGAAGCUUGUAAACUUAGUGGCGGACGGGUGAGUAACACGUGAGCAACCUGCCUAUCAGAGGGGGAUAACGAUUGGAAACGAUCGCUAAUACCGCAUGACAUAGCGGAACCGCAUAAUUCUGUUAUCAAAGAUUUUAUCGCUGAUAGAUGGGCUCGCGUCCGAUUAGAUAGUUGGUGGGGUAACGGCCUACCAAGUCGACGAUCGGUAGCCGGACUGAGAGGUCGAACGGCCACAUUGGGACUGAGACACGGCCCAGACUCCUACGGGAGGCAGCAGUGGGGGAUAUUGCACAAUGGGGGAAACCCUGAUGCAGCGACGCCGCGUGAGGGAAGACGGUCCUCUGGAUUGUAAACCUCUGUCUUCGGGGACGAAACGAGACGGUACCCGAGGAGGAAGCCACGGCUAACUACGUG
Molecule: ribosomal RNA, 481 nt
Filed under: uncultured organism
Description: bacterial SSU rRNA
Rfam family: Bacterial small subunit ribosomal RNA
Source: RNAcentral